GACGAACGCUGGCGGCGUGCUUAACACAUGCAAGUCGAACGGAAAGGCCCUGCUUUUGUGGGGUGCUCGAGUGGCGCACGGGGGAGUAACACGUGAGUAACAUGCACUUGAAUUUGGGGUAUCUCCAGGAAACUGGGGCUCAUACCGGAUAGGAGCUCUUGCUGCAUGGUGGGGGUUGGAAAGUUUCGGCGGUGGGGGCUGGACUCGCGGCUUAUCAGCCUGUUGGUGGGGUAGGGGCUUACCAAGGCUUUGACGGGUAGCCGGCCUGAGAGGGUGACCGGCCACAUUGGGACUGAGAUACGGCCCAGACUCCUACGGGAGGCAGCAGUGGGGAAUAUUGCACAAUGGGCGGAAGCCUGAUGCAGCAACGCCGCGUGCGGGAUGACGGCCUUCGGGUUGUAAACCGCUUUCGCCUGUGACGAAGCGUGAGUGACGGUAAUGGGUAAAGAAGCACCGGCUAACUACGUG
Molecule: ribosomal RNA, 468 nt
Filed under: uncultured bacterium
Lineage: Bacteria
Description: partial 16S ribosomal RNA
Rfam family: Bacterial small subunit ribosomal RNA
Source: RNAcentral